CCUGAGGAAUCAGCAUCGGCUAACUCCGUGCCAGCAGCCGCGGUAAUACGGAGGAUGCAAGCGUUAUCCGGAAUGAUUGGGCGUAAAGCGUCCGCAGGUGGCUGUUCAAGUCUGCUGUUAAAGCACAGGGCUUAACCCUGGAAAGGCAGUGGAAACUGAACGGCUAGAGAGUGGUAGGGGCAGAGGGAAUUCCCAGUGUAGCGGUGAAAUGCGUAGAGAUUGGGAAGAACACCAGUGGCGAAGGCGCUCUGCUGGACCACAACUGACACUCAGGGACGAAAGCUAGGGGAGCGAAUGGGAUUAGAUACCCCAGUAGUCCUAGCCGUAAACGAUGGAUACUAGGCGUUGUGAGUAUCGACCCUCACAGUGCCGUAGCCAACGCGUUAAGUAUCCCGCCUGGGGAGUACGCACGCAAGUGUGAAACUCAAAGGAAUUGACGGGGGCCCGCACAAGCGGUGGAGUAUGUGGUUUAAUUCGAUGCAACGCGAAGAACCUUACCAGGGCUUGACAUGUCUGGAAUUGCGGGGAAACUUGCAAGUGCCGAAAGGAGCCAGAACACAGGUGGUGCAUGGCCGUCGUCAGCUCGUGUCGUGAGAUGUUGGGUUAAGUCCCGCAACGAGCGCAACCCUCGUGUUUAGUUGCCAUCAUUAAGUUGGGCACUCUAGACAGACUGCCGGUGACAAACCGGAGGAAGGUGGGGAUGACGUCAAGUCAGCAUGCCCCUUACGUCCUGGGCGACACACGUACUACAAUGCGACCGACAACGGGAAGCCAACCAGCGAUGGGGAGCAAAUCCCAGCAAACG
Molecule: unclassified non-coding RNA, 805 nt
Filed under: uncultured cyanobacterium
Lineage: Bacteria; Bacillati; Cyanobacteriota
Description: bacterial SSU rRNA
Rfam family: Bacterial small subunit ribosomal RNA
Source: RNAcentral